CGCAUUUGAAACCUUUAGGGGCAGUCUUUCCACAGUUGUUGAGCAACAAGCUGAGUGAAAGAGCAGCAUUAAGGUGAGCUCCCAAGACAUUAGCUUUAAUGGCAGUGCAAAGACAAACAGCAGCAUCAACAUCAGCAAGAUUCUCAAUAAGAGAGCAACAUGAACUCUUUGAUGACAAUAAUGGGCUUCCAAUAACAACAUGCACCAAGUCAUUCAAUAAAUUGGCACACACCUUUAAUUUUAGUGUGUCCUUUGGGCACUUAUGAUAAGUUGAUGGGGGAUUCUUGUGUUGAGUCUUUGGUGGACAUGAGAUGUAAGUUGAAGUAAC
Molecule: long non-coding RNA, 328 nt
Filed under: Solanum tuberosum (potato)
Lineage: Eukaryota; Viridiplantae; Streptophyta; Magnoliopsida; Solanales; Solanaceae
Description: long non-coding RNA (STUB_LNC006627)
Source: RNAcentral